This is a long non-coding RNA of Siniperca chuatsi (mandarin fish), 991 nucleotides long. RefSeq lists it as uncharacterized. NCBI's taxonomy places the organism in Eukaryota, Metazoa, Chordata, Actinopteri, Centrarchiformes, Sinipercidae. The record is from RefSeq and is a predicted model, not a curated record. The transcript is spliced from 2 exons.
AAAACUCAGCUCUGAAGUUUACAUGUAUAUAUGAUGUUUUACUGUAACAUGAAUAAAAACGGGUCUAUGGUAUUAGUAUAUUUUGGAAGUAAACUAAACCUUUCUAAACCUGCCCUUGCUCAUUUUAGUUUCCUGAAUUAUUUGCAUUAAACUUAUGCACAUUUAUUUGUUGCUCAGUUUGCCAGCUAGUGUAAAUGUCACAGAUCCCAUCAUGUGAAGCGUGGCCUACUGGCUCCAGAUUCAGUUCAUGAUAAAAUGAGCAAAACAUUUAAAAAGGAAAUGAGCCCUGCACUGUAGCAAGAUGAUUGAGGUGAAAUUGAUUGCUACUGAAGUUGUGAUGAUAUAAAGCAUAAACUACAGAUGCAUUCACAUCUGUAACUGAACAUUUUGAUUUAAGAUGAAAAGUAAGGAUUUUAUCUUAACUGAUUACAUCUGAUCGGCUGAUUUAAAAGCUUGAUGUAAACAAACGUUUUAACAACACAAAACAUAACUGUUUUAAAAUGUUUAGUGAGUGACCUGAAAGUCAUAUCUGAAGACUGGAGGAGGAUGACAUCAUCACCAGACCUGAAAAAGCAGUGCUCAUACCUGGUUAUGAAGGUACAGAGAAACACACGACGUGUCCUUGAACAGUCCUGCUGUUCUAGUCUUCCUGUGUAGUUGCGCUGUCAGAUUUUGCCCCCAAGUUUUGUUGAGAUUUGUUCAUUAAUAAUUUUAAGGUUUAUAUUAGUUUUAAACCAACGCAUGUGCCCAUCUCCCAGAUUAUCAUGUGACCCUGGCAGGGUCCCAAAAAUGUUUCAGUGAUUGUUUUAAAGCUCAAACACCAUUUCAGAACAUAUAAGGACUAUUAUGUUGUUUGGUUUGUCAUUAAAUGGAGCAGGAAUUGUUGGUGGUGUAGCUUUAAAUUUGACAAACUGAUCACUAAUCUUGAAAAGACCCAAAGUGUUCAGAAAACUGCUUCUUCGUUUUGGGUAGUAAUAACUGUAGUUCUUAU